Molecule: non-coding RNA, 202 nt
Filed under: Ruegeria sp. ANG-R
Lineage: Bacteria; Pseudomonadati; Pseudomonadota; Alphaproteobacteria; Rhodobacterales; Roseobacteraceae
Also listed under: 1 other name
Source: RNAcentral
CAUGAACGCGCCAUGUUCGGUUCCGGGGACGUCCUCGGAAGCAAUAGGGAAUGCAGUGCGGUACACUUCGUGCCAACUCUGCAACUGCCCCCGCAACUGUAGGCGGCGAGCGCGGCUGAUUUUGCCACUGGGAUAUCCCGGGAAGGCCAGCUGAGCGCUUUGACCCGCAAGUCAGGAGACCUGCCGAACAUGCGCCCCCGGA